RNAcentral lists this signal recognition particle RNA (99 nucleotides) under Clostridiales bacterium. RNAcentral describes it as "signal recognition particle sRNA small type". It matches the Rfam family "Bacterial small signal recognition particle RNA". Rfam says of the family: The signal recognition particle (SRP) is a universally conserved ribonucleoprotein involved in the co-translational targeting of proteins to membranes. Archaeal SRP consists of a 7S RNA and homologues of the eukaryotic SRP19 and SRP54 proteins. The record is from RNAcentral. Lineage: Bacteria; Bacillati; Bacillota; Clostridia; Eubacteriales.
GUAUAAGCCCUGUGCAACGGAGUGCUGUGAACCAUGUCAGGCGGGGAACCGAGCAGCAUUAAGCAGAUUUCUUCGUGUGCCGCAGCAAGCUUAUGCCCA